This 600-nucleotide ribosomal RNA is filed under the name uncultured Alphaproteobacteria bacterium. Its description in RNAcentral is "bacterial SSU rRNA". It matches the Rfam family "Bacterial small subunit ribosomal RNA", at positions 89 to 724 of the family's 1533-position model. Lineage: Bacteria; Pseudomonadati; Pseudomonadota; Alphaproteobacteria. The record is from RNAcentral.
GGGACAGCGGCGAACGGGUUAGUAACGCGUGGGAACGUGCCCUUUAGUACGGAAUAGCCAUUGGAAACGAUAAUUAAUACCGUAUACGCCCCAAGGGGGAAAGAUUUAUCGCUAAAGGAUCGGCCCGCGUUAGAUUAGGUAGUUGGUAGGGUAAUGGCCUACCAAGCCGACGAUCUAUAGCUGGUUUGAGAGGAUGAUCAGCAACACUGGGACUGAGACACGGCCCAGACUUCUACGGAAGGCAGCAGUAGGGAAUCUUGGACAAUGGGCGAAAGCCUGAUCCAGCCAUGCCGCGUGAGUGAUGAAGGCCCUAGGGUUGUAAAGCUCUUUCGCCAGGGAAGAUAAUGACGGUACCUGGUAAAGAAACCCCGGCUAACUCCGUGCCAGCAGCCGCGGUAAUACGGAGGGGGUUAGCGUUGUUCGGAAUUACUGGGCGUAAAGCGCACGUAGGCGGAUUAAUAAGUCAGGGGUGAAAUCCCGAGGCUCAACCUCGGAACUGCCUUUGAUACUGUUAAUCUUGAGUUCGAGAGAGGUGAGUGGAAUUCCGAGUGUAGAGGUGAAAUUCGUAGAUAUUCGGAGGAACACCAGUGGCGAAGGCGG